This is a long non-coding RNA of Corvus hawaiiensis (hawaiian crow), 206 nucleotides long. RefSeq lists it as uncharacterized. The transcript has 3 exons. Lineage: Eukaryota; Metazoa; Chordata; Aves; Passeriformes; Corvidae. The record is from RefSeq and is a predicted model, not a curated record.
CCGAUUCGUUGUCACUGAGAGUGGCACCUACCAGUGUGACAGACCUGGCACCGGGCGCAGCCCUCCCGUGAGCAUCUUAUAAUGCUGCACCACAGUGGCCGCUACCGCUGCAAUUGCCAGAUGGGAACCAACCGGCUGGAGUCAGUGCCAGUGACUGUGACAGUGCACGAGCUCUUCCCGGUGCCAGUGCUGGAGGGUUCUCCCGA